Molecule: ribosomal RNA, 587 nt
Filed under: Chalcorana mocquardi
Lineage: Eukaryota; Metazoa; Chordata; Amphibia; Anura; Ranidae
Description: Hylarana mocquardi partial 12S ribosomal RNA
Rfam family: Bacterial small subunit ribosomal RNA (bases 1-462)
Source: RNAcentral
AUUACGAGCAACGCUUAAAACCCAAAGGAUUUGACGGUGCCCCAUCCCCCUAGAGGAGCCUGUUCUAUAAUCGAUAACCCCCGCUAUACCUCACCACUCCUAGCUUUCUCAGUCUGUAUACCUCCGUCGAAAGUCUACCAUAUGAAUGCCCUUAGUAGACACAAUGACACCCAUCAACACGUCAGGUCAAGGUGCAGCUCACGCAGUGGAAAGCAAUGGGCUACAAUUUCUAAAUUAGAACAAACGAAAGACUGUAUGAAAUAACAGCCACGAAGGCGGAUUUAGUAGUAAAAAGAAAAUAGAGUGUUCUUUUUAACCCGGCUCUGGGACGCGUACACACCGCCCGUCACCCUCUUCAAUAUUCAUCUUCUACUAGUCCAUAACCCCCCCCCCCCUUUUUUUAGAAGAGGCAAGUCGUAACAUGGGAAGUGUACUGGAAAGGGGACUUGGGAUACUCCAAAAUGUAGCUUAACCAAAGCCUCCCGCUUACACCGAGACGAAACCCGUUUAAACCAAGUCAUUUUGAGCCCACAAUCUAGCCCACAUCCUCCCCAUGUUGCCCCCAACUUAUUAAUUCUUUAAUAAAA